RNAcentral lists this ribosomal RNA (569 nucleotides) under uncultured organism. RNAcentral's name for it is "SSU rRNA". It matches the Rfam family "Bacterial small subunit ribosomal RNA", at positions 859 to 1427 of the family's 1533-position model. The record is from RNAcentral.
AAUAAGUACCCCGCCUGGGGAGUACGACCGCAAGGUUGAAACUCAAAGGAAUUGACGGGGGCCCGCACAAGCGGUGGAGUAUGUGGUUUAAUUCGACGCAACGCGAAGAACCUUACCAGGUCUUGACAUUGAUGGACAGAACUAGAGAUAGUUCCUCUUCUUCGGAAGCCAGAAAACAGGUGGUGCACGGUUGUCGUCAGCUCGUGUCGUGAGAGGUUGGGUUAAGUCCCGCAACGAGCGCAACCCCUAUCUUAUGUUGCCAGCACUUUGGGUGGGAACUCAUGAGAGACUGCCGCAGACAAUGCGGAGGAAGGGGGGGAGGACGUCAAAUCAUCAUGCCCCUUAUGACCUGGGCUACACACGUACUACAAUGGGAGUUAAUAGACGGAAGCAAUACCGCGAGGUGGAGCAAACCCGAGAAACACUCUCUCAGUUCGGAUCGUAGGGUGCAACUUGCCUACGUGAAGUCGGAAUCGCUAGUAAUCGCAGGUCAGCAUAAUGCGGUGAAUACGUUCCCGGGCCUCGCACACACCGCCCGUCACUCACCGCCCGUCUGCACUCACCGCCCG